Long non-coding RNA from Serinus canaria (Common canary), 1135 nucleotides. RefSeq lists it as uncharacterized. The transcript has 5 exons. The record is from RefSeq and is a predicted model, not a curated record. Lineage: Eukaryota; Metazoa; Chordata; Aves; Passeriformes; Fringillidae.
GCGAGCUCAGAAAGAAUUAAACCAUCAAUAAAAUGACAGACUUGGUACAUUUCAAAGCGUCUGCUAAGAUCUCAUGGAAUUUCUUGGCUACUGCAUGCUCAGUCAGACAGAAAGACAUGGGGGUAAAUCCAUGAUCACCUUGUAGUAUUUCACUGGAUGUUUCAGAAGAGCAGAUGGGAAUAGCGAGCAGUGGAUAAGUCUGUCACUGGGUUUGAGGAGUCUGGCUCUCUCCAUGUCACUGUCACUCGGGAGACAUCCUGCUUUCUGCACGGCAGUAAGGGAGGGGACUGCGGCUCCGAGUGAUCUUCCCGUAAAAACAGCAAAAACGGGAGCGCUGGGAAGUGUCAUGUGCGAGGAAUGUGUGGAAUGAGGGGUCAGCUGGAGAGCCAAUGUCAGGAUAGCAAAUGGUCCCUGAUAUCCCUGGAGCAUCGCUGCGUGGGGGGCUGUGGGGAGUCGUGUGCCUCUUGAGACCCACCAAUUAAAUAUUGCAAGUUUGGGGCCCUGUCUGGCAAGUGAUUUCAAGUCUUCCCAUACUCAGAUAAUUCCAAGGGACGGAUCCAUGCCCCAUUUCAGAGUCAAGCAUACAUGUGAGCAGCAGAGACUCCUGAAAAGAAGACUAGAGAAAGAUUGCCAUCUUCUGGAAGGAUAAAUAUCUGCCAUUAUUCAGAAUACUAAAUCUGCUAUAAGCAUAUUUUUUAAACCAUAGCAUAUUUCUGAUCAAUUUAUUUCCCAACAUGAAUUCUUAUUCUUAUAAAACCAAUUCAGUUUAAUUUCAUUGAUGUAUAUGCCAUGAAAUCAGCUUUAGAAACUGACAGAGAAUCUUGGGUUUUAAUGAUACUCUCACCAAGCUUAAAAUUAGGAAGGUGUUAAGGAUUAUCAGUAGAGAUCGACUUUAUUUAUUCUUGAGCUCGAAACCAGGCUUUUGUUUUUUGGGUUUUUUUUUUUAACUGGGCAUUUAGAAGUUAAAUUUAAGGUGUCCAGAUGCGGACAGACUGCAAAAAAGAAAGCAAAAAAAAAAUCACUCUCCUUUUAAAUGGCAUCAGCUGUUGCUCUACCUGCUCCAGUAAAUUAAGUACAUAAGUACAUCUGUUUCAAACAGAACCUUUUUAUUAAUCAAAAACCUGCAGGCGGUCCG